ACGGGUGAGUAACGCGUGGGAAUCUACCGUGCCCUGCGGAAUAGCUCCGGGAAACUGGAAUUAACACCGCAUACGCCCUACGGGGGAAAGAUUUAUCGGGGUAUGAUGAGCCCGCGUUGGAUUAGCUAGUUGGUGGGGUAAAGGCCUACCAAGGCGACGAUCCAUAGCUGGUCUGAGAGGAUGAUCAGCCACAUUGGGACUGAGACACGGCCCAAACUCCUACGGGAGGCAGCAGUGGGGAAUAUUGGACAAUGGGCGCAAGCCUGAUCCAGCCAUGCCGCGUGAGUGAUGAAGGCCUUAGGGUUGUAAAGCUCUUUCACCGGAGAAGAUAAUGACGGUAUCCGGAGAAGAAGCCCCGGCUAACUUCGUGCCAGCAGCCGCGGUAAUACGAAGGGGGCUAGCGUUGUUCGGAAUUACUGGGCGUAAAGCGCACGUAGGCGGAUAUUUAAGUCAGGGGUGAAAUCCCAGAGCUCAACUCUGGAACUGCCUUUGAUACUGGGUAUCUUGAGUAUGGAAGAGGUAAGUGGAAUUCCGAGUGUAGAGGUGAAAUUCGUAGA
RNAcentral lists this ribosomal RNA (557 nucleotides) under uncultured bacterium. RNAcentral describes it as "bacterial SSU rRNA". It matches the Rfam family "Bacterial small subunit ribosomal RNA", at positions 102 to 694 of the family's 1533-position model. The record is from RNAcentral.